Elaeis guineensis (African oil palm) is the source of this 1581-nucleotide non-coding RNA. The record is from RefSeq and is a predicted model, not a curated record. NCBI's taxonomy places the organism in Eukaryota, Viridiplantae, Streptophyta, Magnoliopsida, Arecales, Arecaceae.
CGGGUCGGAAGGGAGGGGCCCGUGCGUUCUUCGUCGGGAAAGGAAGCGGCCACAGGAAGUCCAUGAUCCACCCGGCGGCCCAGCCCUACCCCGCGCGGCCCUACUACGACACCAAGCCCUCCCUCCCGCCGCCCCAGCCCAAUCCCUUCUCCCCCUCGCCGGCGGCCGCUGUCAUGCACCCACCUCCGGCCCCCAUCGUCAUCGAGUCCUCCGCCUUCCCACAGCCCUACUACCUCCACCCCCCUGCCCCGCCUGCGGCUGUGCCCGUGAUCCACCCCAACGCCGAGCAGCAGAAGAUCAAUACUCUCUUCGUCUCCGGGCUCCCCGACGACGUCAAGCCUCGAGAGAUCCACAACCUCUUCCGCCGCCGCCACGGCUUCGAUUCUUGCCAGCUCAAGUACACCGGCCGCGGUGACCAGGUUGUCGCCUUUGCCACAUUUUUUAAUCAUCAAUCAGCAAUGGCAGCAAUGAACGCAUUAAACGGAGUGGUUUUUGAUCCUGAGACGGGAGCUACUCUGCAUAUAGAGCUGGCCAGAUCAAAUUCUCGGAAGCGUCCACGAGGGGGUGGAGCCUAUGCAGUAAUUGAUAAACGAGUUAAAAUAACAGAUGAUGACCAAGAUUUAUGGAGUAAUGAUGGUGACGGUGGAUCUGAUGAACCAUUGGGCACAGAAAAUGAUAAUUCCAGCAACAAGGGUGCUUUAGCUGCUGCACAGAGUGGUGGGGUCGCGGAUAAGCUAGAGAAUGAUCAAGCUGCUUCAAAUGAGCCAGAAAAGCCAACAUCAGGGGACAUUCCACCUUGUUCUACAUUAUUUAUUGCAAAUUUGGGUCCUACUUGCACUGAAGAAGAACUAAAGCAAGUUCUGUCUGAAUACCCUGGCUUUCAUACAAUUAAAAUGCGAGGGAGAGGUGGAAUGCCCGUUGCUUUUGCUGAUUUUGCGAAUUUCCACUUCAUGAAACUUUUUUGACUGCGGGGGAUCCUGUGCAUGUGCAGGAUGUGGAAUCCUCAACUGCAGCCAUGAAUACUCUUCAAGACUCUUUGCUGGCGUCUUCUGAUCGUGGUGGCAUGCAUGUGGAAUACGCGAGGUCCAAAAUGAGGAAAAGCUAGCUUUACGAAAGGGCCAUGCUGCAAAGCCUGCAUUCUCAAAUUUGGACAUUAAGAGUUCAGAUCAAGUGAUCCUUAAAAUGUAGAUGUGGAUAUAUGCUAUGCUUGACAUUGGCUUGCUACAGUGAGAGAUCAUCCUGUCUGAUUUUGGCUAUCUUUUGUAACCAUUCAAUAUUUUGCUAACCUUCUUUGUGUAAAUUAAGCAGUUCAUGAUUAUUAUUCAAGGGUUGUUAGGGUUUAUCAUUCAAGGGUGAUUGUAUGCUAGUAUGAUACCAUUUUUUUUUUAAGUACGAUACCAGCUUUUGAACGUCUUCCCACGCACUCUUCCAAAUUUAUUAUUUUAUAGAUUAUAUUAAAGUCGUGGAAGUAGGAAUUGGUAAGUGGCAGAUAUUGCCGUUAAAAAGUCUCAUUCUAAAGGUUUGGUUGGUUUAUCACAUUUUAAUGCUGUUUCAAGCAGUGGCAGGCUGUCGUCAUCUCAA